AAUAGAUACCCAGGUAGUCCACGCCGUAAACGAUGAGUGCUAAGUGUUAGAGGGUUUCCGCCCUUUAGUGCUGCAGCUAACGCAUUAAGCACUCCGCCUGGGGAGUACGGCCGCAAGGCUGAAACUCAAAGGAAUUGACGGGGGCCCGCACAAGCGGUGGAGCAUGUGGUUUAAUUCGAAGCAACGCGAAGAACCUUACCAGGUCUUAACAUCCUCUGCCAACCCUAGAGAUAGGGCGUUCCCCUUCGGGGGACAGAGUGACAGGUGGUGCAUGGUUGUCGUCAGCUCGUGUCGUGAGAUGUUGGGUUAAGUCCCGCAACGAGCGCAACCCUUGAUCUUAGUUGCCAGCAUUCAGUUGGGCACUCUAAGGUGACUGCCGGUGACAAACCGGAGGAAGGUGGGGAUGACGUCAAAUCAUCAUGCCCCUUAUGACCUGGGCUACACACGUGCUACAAUGGAUGGUACAAAGAGCUGCGAACCCGCGAGGGUAAGCGAAUCUCAUAAAGCCAUUCUCAGUUCGGA
This 522-nucleotide ribosomal RNA is filed under the name uncultured bacterium. Its description in RNAcentral is "bacterial SSU rRNA". It matches the Rfam family "Bacterial small subunit ribosomal RNA", at positions 777 to 1297 of the family's 1533-position model. The record is from RNAcentral.